This is a long non-coding RNA of Esox lucius (northern pike), 506 nucleotides long. RefSeq lists it as uncharacterized. The transcript is spliced from 3 exons. Lineage: Eukaryota; Metazoa; Chordata; Actinopteri; Esociformes; Esocidae. The record is from RefSeq and is a predicted model, not a curated record.
AUCAGGAAGUCCGUGGUCUGUUAAGUAAUAUGCUGAAGACAGAUAUGCUGAAGACAAAUCUAGUCAUCAUAAACAACCAAGAGGAACAGAAAUUCCUAAUUUCAUUAAACAUACGUACUUGGAUCGGUCUGUCUGACAUAGAGACUGAGGGGACCUGGAGAUGGGUGGAUGGCACACCUCUGACUACAGCGUACUGGGGAGAAAAAGAGCCUAAUAAUGCUGGUGGAGGGGAAGACUGUGCCGAGAUUUAUCAUUGCAUUACUGAUCCUGUAAACAAAUGGAAUGACAAUUCAUGUACCUCUCAACUUAACUGGAUUUGUGAACAAACCAUUGAUUAACAAUACCUUGUUAUCUACAGUACAAUCACAAUGCAUUAAGGCUGUACACAAACAAUAAACAAUAUGACAUUUAGCAAAAAUGUGUAUCCAUUAUGACUUUUACAGGCUUAUGUUUCACAAGGACUACACCUCUUAUUUAUUCAUGUUUGUUUCCCACCGUGCACAUUG